CCUACGGGUGGCUGCAGUGGGGGAUAUUGCACAAUGGGGGGAACCCUGAUGCAGCGACGCCGCGUGGGUGAAGAAGCGCCUCGGCGCGUAAAGCUCUGUCAGCAGGGAAGAAAAUGACGGUAGCUGAAGAAGAAGCCCCGGCGAACGACGUGCCAGCAGCCGCGGUAAUACGGAGGGGGCAAGCGUUAUCCGGAUUUACUGGGUGUAAAGGGGGCGCAGCCGGGGAUGCAAGCCAGUAGUGAAAGCUCGGGGCCCAACCCCGGAACGGCUCUUGGAACUGCGUGGCUUGAGUGCAGGAGGGGCAGGCGGAAUGCCUGGUGUAGCGGUGAAAUGCGUAGAUAUCAGGAGGAACACCGGUGGCGAAGGCGGCCUGCUGGACUGCAACUGACGUUGAGGCCCGAAAGCGUGGGGAGCAAACAGGAUUAGAUACCCCAGUAGUC
This 440-nucleotide ribosomal RNA is filed under the name uncultured bacterium. RNAcentral's name for it is "partial 16S ribosomal RNA". It matches the Rfam family "Bacterial small subunit ribosomal RNA", at positions 338 to 795 of the family's 1533-position model. The record is from RNAcentral.